This 460-nucleotide ribosomal RNA is filed under the name uncultured bacterium. RNAcentral's name for it is "partial 16S ribosomal RNA". It matches the Rfam family "Bacterial small subunit ribosomal RNA", at positions 338 to 795 of the family's 1533-position model. The record is from RNAcentral.
CCUACGGGUGGCAGCAGUGAGGAAUAUUGGUCAAUGGGCGUAAGCCUGAACCAGCGACGCCGCGUGAGGGAUGAAGGUUCUAUGGAUCGUAAACCUCUUUUAUAAGGGAGUAAAGUGCGGGACGUGUCCCGCUUUGUAUGUACCUUAUGAAUAAGGAUAGGCUAACUCCGUCCCAGCAGCCGCGGUAAUACGGAGGAUCCGAGCGUUAUCCGGAUUUAUUGGGUUUAAGGGGUGCGUAGGCGGCCUUUUAAGUCAGGUGUGAAAGUCUGUGGCUCAACCAUAGAAUUGCCGUGGAAACUGGGAGGCUGGAGUAUGUGUGAGGCAGGCGGAAUGCGUGGUGUAGCGGUGAAAUGCUUAGAUAUCACGCAGAACCCCGAUUGCGAAGGCAGCCUGCCAAGCCAUGACUGACGCUGAUGCACGAAAGCGUGGGGAUCAAACAGGAUUAGAUACCCGGGUAGUC